This 417-nucleotide ribosomal RNA is filed under the name uncultured bacterium. Its description in RNAcentral is "bacterial SSU rRNA". It matches the Rfam family "Bacterial small subunit ribosomal RNA", at positions 355 to 787 of the family's 1533-position model. The record is from RNAcentral.
UCGGGAAUAUUGCGCAAUGGAGGAAACUCUGACGCAGUGACGCCGCGUGCAGGAAGAAGGUUUUCGGAUUGUAAACUGCUUUUAGACAGGGAAGAAAAAUGGACAGUACCUGUAGAAUAAGCUCCGGCUAACUACGUGCCAGCAGCCGCGGUAAUACGUAGGGAGCAAGCGUUAUCCGGAUUUAUUGGGUGUAAAGGGUGCGUAGACGGGAAGUCAAGUUAGUUGUGAAAUCCCUCGGCUCAACUGAGGAACUGCAACUAAACUAACUUUCUUGAGUGCUGGAGAGGAAAGUGGAAUUCCUAGUGUAGCGGUGAAAUGCGUAGAUAUUAGGAGGAACACCAGUGGCGAAGGCGACUUUCUGGACAGUAACUGACGUUGAGGCACGAAAGUGUGGGGAGCAAACAGGAUUAGAUACCC